GACGAACGCUGGCGGCGUGCUUAACACAUGCAAGUCGAGCGGUAAGGCCCUUUCGGGGGUACGACGAGCGGCGAACGGGUGAGUAACACGUGGGUGACCUGCCCUCAGCUCUGGGAUAAGCCUGGGAAACCGGGUCUAAUACCGGAUAUGACUCCAUGACGCAUGUUGUGGGGUGGAAAGCCUUGUGCGGCUGAGGAUGGGCCCGCGGCCUAUCAGCUUGUUGGUGGGGUGAUGGCCUACCAAGGCGACGACGGGUAGCCGGCCUGAGAGGGCGACCGGCCACACUGGGACUGAGACACGGCCCAGACUCCUACGGGAGGCAGCAGUGGGGAAUCUUGCGCAAUGGGCGAAAGCCUGACGCAGCGACGCCGCGUGAGGGAUGACGGCCUGUGU
This 393-nucleotide ribosomal RNA is filed under the name uncultured bacterium. RNAcentral's name for it is "bacterial SSU rRNA". It matches the Rfam family "Bacterial small subunit ribosomal RNA", at positions 28 to 421 of the family's 1533-position model. The record is from RNAcentral.